GACGAACGCUGGCGGCGUGCCUAAUACAUGCAAGUCGAACGAGAGCGACCGGUGCUUGCACUGGUCAAUCUAGUGGCGAACGGGUGAGUAACACGUGGGUAACCUGCCCAUCAGAGGGGGAUAACAUCCGGAAACGGAUGCUAAAACCGCAUAGGUCUUCGAGCCGCAUGGCUUGAAGAGGAAAAGAGGCGCAAGCUUCUGCUGAUGGAUGGACCCGCGGUGCAUUAGCUAGUUGGUGAGGUAACGGCUCACCGAGGCCGUGAUGCAUAGCCGACCUGAGAGGGUGAUCGGCCACAUUGGGACUGAGACACGGCCCAAACUCCUACGGGAGGCAGCAGUAGGGAAUCUUCCGCAAUGGACGCAAGUCUGACGGAGCAACGCCGCGUGAGUGAAGAAGGUUUUCGGAUCGUAAAACUCUGUUGUUAGAGAAGAACAAGUGCUAGAGUAACUGUUAGCGCCUUGACGGUAUCUAACCAGAAAGCCACGGCUAACUACGUG
Molecule: ribosomal RNA, 498 nt
Filed under: uncultured bacterium
Lineage: Bacteria
Description: partial 16S ribosomal RNA
Rfam family: Bacterial small subunit ribosomal RNA
Source: RNAcentral